AAAUUGAAGAGUUUGAUCAUGGCUCAGAUUGAACGCUGGCGGCAGGCCUAACACAUGCAAGUCGAGCGGUAGCACAAGAGAGCUUGCUCUCUGGGUGACGAGCGGCGGACGGGUGAGUAAUGUCUGGGAAACUGCCUGAUGGAGGGGGAUAACUACUGGAAACGGUAGCUAAUACCGCAUGACGUC
Molecule: ribosomal RNA, 186 nt
Filed under: Dickeya dianthicola
Lineage: Bacteria; Pseudomonadati; Pseudomonadota; Gammaproteobacteria; Enterobacterales; Pectobacteriaceae
Description: partial 16S ribosomal RNA
Rfam family: Bacterial small subunit ribosomal RNA
Source: RNAcentral